AACGAACGCUGGCGGCGUGCCUAACACAUGCAAGUCGUACGAGAAACACGUCCUUCGGGAUGUGGAGUAAAGUGGCGCACGGGUGAGUAACACGUGGGUAACCUGCCUCGGGGACCGGGAUAACUCCGCGAAAGCGGGGCUAAUACCGGAUAAGACCACAUGAGCUUCGGCUCAAGGGGUCAAAGUCGGCCUCUCGAAGAAGCCGGCGCCUGGAGAUGGGCUCGCGGACCAUUAGCUUGUUGGUAGGGUAACGGCCUACCAAGGCCAAGAUGGUGGGCUGGGAUGAGAGGAUGAUCAGCCACACUGGAACUGCGACACGGUCCAGACGCCGACGGGAGGCAGCAGUGAGGAAUAUUGCGCAAUGGGAGAAACCCUGACGCAGCAACGCCGCGUGGGUGAAGAAGGCUUUCGGGUUGUAAAGCCCUGUCAGGUGGGAAGAAACCUCCGCAAGUGAAUAGUUUGCGGAACUGACGGUACCACCAAAGGAAGCACCGGCUAACUCCGUGCCAGCCGCCGCGGUAA
This 522-nucleotide ribosomal RNA is filed under the name uncultured bacterium. Its description in RNAcentral is "partial 16S ribosomal RNA". It matches the Rfam family "Bacterial small subunit ribosomal RNA", at positions 29 to 523 of the family's 1533-position model. The record is from RNAcentral.